RNAcentral lists this ribosomal RNA (162 nucleotides) under Kitagawia praeruptora. Its description in RNAcentral is "Peucedanum praeruptorum 5.8S ribosomal RNA". It matches the Rfam family "5.8S ribosomal RNA". Rfam says of the family: 5.8S ribosomal RNA (5.8S rRNA) is a component of the large subunit of the eukaryotic ribosome. It is transcribed by RNA polymerase I as part of the 45S precursor that also contains 18S and 28S rRNA. Lineage: Eukaryota; Viridiplantae; Streptophyta; Magnoliopsida; Apiales; Apiaceae. The record is from RNAcentral.
AAYGACUCUCGACAACGGAUAUCUCGGCUCUCGCAUCGAUGAAGAACGUAGCGAAAUGCGAUACUUGGUGUGAAUUGCAGAAUCCCGUGAACCAUCGAGUCUUUGAACGCAAGUUGCGCCCGAAGCCAUUAGGUUGAGGGCACGUCUGCCUGGGUGUCACGC